AUGGUCUGGGAACUGGCUUCUGGUUGCUGCUGCCUCCUGGGCUGUACAUCUGUACCAGAUAGCCUUACCCUGACCUAGAGUAACAAAGGAUUGGCCUGUCUCGGUCAUCCUGUGCCGUAACAGGUGUGAACACAUUUUAGUAAAUUGUGCUCAUGUAUAGUACUGCACACAGGU
Molecule: non-coding RNA, 174 nt
Organism: Pelobates cultripes (western spadefoot toad)
Lineage: Eukaryota; Metazoa; Chordata; Amphibia; Anura; Pelobatidae
Source: the annotation of a GenBank genome assembly